AGUGAACGCUGGCGGCAGGCCUAACACAUGCAAGUCGAGCGGCAGCGGGCUGUAGCAAUACAGUGCCGGCGAGCGGCGGACGGGUGAGGAAUACAUCGGAAUCUACCUUGUCGUGGGGGAUAACGUAGGGAAACUUACGCUAAUACCGCAUACGAACUACGGUUGAAAGCGGAGGACCGCAAGGCUUCGCGCCAUUGGAUGAGCCGAUGUCGGAUUAGCUAGUUGGCGGGGUAAUGGCCCACCAAGGCGACGAUCCGUAGCUGGUCUGAGAGGAUGAUCAGCCACACUGGAACUGAGACACGGUCCAGACUCCUACGGAGGCAGCAGUGGGGAAUAUUGGACAAUGGGCGCAAGCCUGAUCCAGCCAUGCCGCGUGUGUGAAGAAGGCC
RNAcentral lists this ribosomal RNA (389 nucleotides) under uncultured bacterium. RNAcentral's name for it is "bacterial SSU rRNA". It matches the Rfam family "Bacterial small subunit ribosomal RNA", at positions 29 to 416 of the family's 1533-position model. The record is from RNAcentral.